ACUUACAUUAACAUUUAGGCUGUCCCUGCCAAUCUUAUCUGAUCUUGGAAACUAAGCAAGGUCACACCUUACUGAUACCUGGGUAAGAAAUCACCUGGGAAUACAAGGUAUUCUGGGCU
RNAcentral lists this ribosomal RNA (119 nucleotides) under Salvator merianae (Argentine black and white tegu). Lineage: Eukaryota; Metazoa; Chordata; Lepidosauria; Squamata; Teiidae. The record is from RNAcentral.